Molecule: ribosomal RNA, 481 nt
Filed under: uncultured bacterium
Lineage: Bacteria
Description: partial 16S ribosomal RNA
Rfam family: Bacterial small subunit ribosomal RNA
Source: RNAcentral
GACGAACGUUGGCGGCGUGCUUAAUACAUGCAAGUCAACUGAAGCAGUGGUAGCAAUAUCGCUGUGGAGGUGGCGCACGGGUGAGUAACACGUAGGUAAUCUGCCUUCAGGUCUGGCAUAACUCCGGGAAACCGGGGCUAAUAGCAGAUGAUGCAGCGGCUCGACAUCGAGACAGUUGUUAAAGCUAUGGCGCCUGAAGAUGAGCCUGCGUCUGAUUAGCUAGUUGGCGGGGUAACGGCCCACCAAGGCAACGAUCAGUAGCUGGUCUGAGAGGAUGAUCAGCCACAGUGGAACUGAGACACGGGCCAGACUCCUACGGGAGGCAGCAGUAAGGAAUAUUGCUCAAUGGGAGAAAUCCUGAAGCAGCAACGCCGCGUGAGGGACGAAGGGCUUUUGCUUGUAAACCUCUGUAGUGAGAGAAAAAAAUCCCAAUCUUUGGGACAUGAUGGUAUCUCAAAAGUAAGCCCCGGCUAACUACGUG